GAAGGUCCAUCUUCUUCCUUCUUCUCCCUUUCAGCCAACCUUCUGUCUUCCUGCGAGCUAGCACUCCUCGGGAAGCUGAUCAUUCCGGAGCUUCGCGUGGACGAGUCAUCGAGGCCGGACGCUUGUGCGGCUGCGAAGCAUCCUUGAAGGAACCUCCUUCUAAAGGGCCAGUGUUCGUAAUCGAUAUAGAUUCCUGCUCGUAUAUGAAGGAGAUUAGGAGCAUUGCGUGACAUCCAGAAUCAUGCAUGCAUGGAGCCCAAUCAAGGGCGUGCAUGAAGCCCAACCAGGGGUGUGCAUGAAGCUAGCAUGGAGACCAAUCAGGGGCGUGUGUGAAGCCCAACCAGGAGCAUACGUGAGCCUAAUCUCGCGGCAUGCAUGAAGCCAUAUUGAGUCCAGAAUUUUGCUGCCAUGAAGUUAGAAGAGUCCUCUUUGUUUUGUUUUGUUUGUUUGACUCAUUCCAAGUCGGAAAUUAAGAUCAAAGGUUUGAAUUGUUACUAAGUCCUUUGUUGACCCAUUCCAAGUCGGAAAUUAAGAUGAAUGGGAACUAGGGGGCAUACGUGAACCUACCCAGGGCAUAUGCAAGCCAACUCUUAAGAGUUACGAGAGUCCUUCUGUUUUACUUUGUUUGUUUAACUCAUUCAAAGUGAGUGUUAGCAAGUUCUUGUUUGAAGGAGUUUGAUUUAUUUCAAACUUUUUAUCUCCAGCAGAUAAGAGCCGGUUAUUUUUGUUUGUUUCCAACCUCCUACUCUAUAAAAGGAGGGAUGAUGAAUAAAUCGGCAUAUUAGAGUUGAAAA
This is a non-coding RNA of Phoenix dactylifera (date palm), 794 nucleotides long. NCBI's taxonomy places the organism in Eukaryota, Viridiplantae, Streptophyta, Magnoliopsida, Arecales, Arecaceae. The record is from RefSeq and is a predicted model, not a curated record.